UACAGAGGUCUCAAGCGUUGUUCGGAUUCAUUGGGCGUAAAGGGUGCGUAGGUGGCCGCGGUAAGUCGGGUGUGAAAUCUCGGAGCUUAACCCGGAAAGGUCAACCGAUACUGCGGGCUAGAGUGCAGAAGGGGCAACUGGAAUUCUCGGUGUAGCGGUGAAAUGCGUAGAUAUCGAGAGGAACACCUGCGGCGAAGGCGGGUUGCUGGGCUGACACUGACGCUGAUGUGCGAAAGCUAGGGGAGCGAACGGG
Molecule: ribosomal RNA, 253 nt
Filed under: uncultured bacterium
Lineage: Bacteria
Description: partial 16S ribosomal RNA
Rfam family: Bacterial small subunit ribosomal RNA
Source: RNAcentral